Molecule: long non-coding RNA, 434 nt
Filed under: Bos taurus (domestic cattle)
Lineage: Eukaryota; Metazoa; Chordata; Mammalia; Artiodactyla; Bovidae
Description: long non-coding RNA NONBTAT016102
Source: RNAcentral
AUUUGUACAUUUUCUGUUUCUCUCCUGAUGGCAGUGGUGCCUUUGUCACCUUUUAGAAGGUUGGCAUUUUGUUUUUGUUUUUAAAUACAAGUAACAGCUUGCUUUUGACUUCACAAAAAUCUCCCCGGACGUAGAAGAAAAUGGUGCGUUGUCAUCCUGGCUCAGUUGGAGUAUUUGCAUUUUUAUUUCUGUCAAAAUAAGUAUAGUUGGUGGGGAUGGGCCAGUAAUAAUGUGUGGAGUCUUUAAACCAAGAGUAAUUUUGAAAUUAAAAAUUGAAGAGGUGACCCAUUAGCAAGUGACUGAGUUGGAGAAUUAGAGGAGGACCGUUCUGGCUUGUCUCUUUAGAAGGCACGUUGGAGUACAGGUGGCUUGGGCGUGUAGCGUGUGAUCUGCGGCUAUUUCUUACUCAUCAACAGUGUCGGUGCACCUCAUUA